RNAcentral lists this transfer RNA (73 nucleotides) under Odorrana ishikawae (Ishikawa's frog). RNAcentral's name for it is "tRNA-Leu(UUR)". It matches the Rfam family "tRNA". From Rfam's summary of the family: Transfer RNA (tRNA) molecules are approximately 80 nucleotides in length. Their secondary structure includes four short double-helical elements and three loops (D, anti-codon, and T loops). The record is from RNAcentral. Lineage: Eukaryota; Metazoa; Chordata; Amphibia; Anura; Ranidae.
GUUAGUGUGGCAGAGUGCGGUGUUGCGAAAGACCUAAACUCUUUAAACAGGGGUUCAAAUCCCCUCACUAACU